RNAcentral lists this ribosomal RNA (2852 nucleotides) under human gut metagenome. RNAcentral describes it as "bacterial LSU rRNA". It matches the Rfam family "Bacterial large subunit ribosomal RNA". The record is from RNAcentral.
UCAAGCGAAGAAGAGCACAUGGAGAAUGCCUUGGCAUCAGGAGCCGAAGAAGGACGUGAUAAGCUGCGAAAAGCUGCGGGGAGCUGCAAAUAAGCGUAGAGCCGCAGAUGUCCGAAUGUGGAAACACGGCAGAGCAAUACUCUGUCAACCUAUGGUGAAUAAAAUAGUCAUAGGUGGGGAGACCCGCUGAACUGAAACAUCUAAGUAGGCGGAGGAAGAGAAAUCAAAAGAGAUUCCCGAAGUAGCGGCGAGCGAAACGGGAAGAGGCCAAACCGAUUGUAGUAAUACGGUCGGGGUUGAGGACUGCAAUUAGCAUUGUGAGCUGUUAGUAGAAUUGUCUGGGAAGGCAAACCAAAGAGGGUAAAAGUCCCGUAAACGAAAAUGGCGAGCAGCGAGCAGAAUCCAGAGUACCGCCGGACACGUGAAACCCGGUGGGAAGCAGGGUAGACCACUAUCCAAGCCUAAAUACUACCUGAUGACCGAUAGAGAAGCAGUACCGUGAGGGAAAGGUGAAAAGAACCCCGGGAGGGGAGUGAAAUAGAACCUGAAACCGUGUGUUUACAAGCAGUCGAAGCACGUUAAGGUGCGACGGCGUACUUUUUGUAGAACGGUCCGGCGAGUAUAUGUAUGUAGCAAGGUUAAUGUAUUAAGUACAGAAGCCGAAGGGAAACCGAGUCUGAAAAGGGCGUAGAGUUGCAUAUAUAUGACCCGAAACCGGGUGACCUACCCAUGGACAGGUUGAAGCGAGAGUAAAAUCUCGUGGAGGACCGAACCCACGUAUGUUGAAAAAUGCGGGGAUGAGCUGUGGGUAGCGGAGAAAUUCCAAUCGAACUCGGAUAUAGCUGGUUCUCCCCGAAAUAGCUUUAGGGCUAGCCUCGGAUUAGUUUAGCGGGGGUAAAGCACUGAAUGGGCUAGGGGGCGUAUAGCUUACUGAACCCUAUCAAACUCAGAAUACCGCAUAAAUGAUGUCCGGGAGUCAGACUACGGGAGAUAAGUUCCGUGGUCAAAAGGGAAACAGCCCAGACCCACAGCUAAGGUCCCAAAAUAGGUUUAAGUGGAAAAGGAUGUCUAGUUGCCCAGACAACUAGGAUGUUGGCUUAGAAGCAGCCACUCAUUAAAAGAGUGCGUAAUAGCUCACUAGUCGAGUGAUUAGGCGCCGAAAAUUUAACGGGGCUAAAAUCUAUACCGAAGCUUGGGAAUAUGUUUUUUAAAUGUAUUGGUAGGGGAGCAUUCUAUUAUAGGGAGAAGCAUAAUCGAAAGGAUAUGUGGACGAGAUAGAAGAGAGAAUGCCGGAAUGAGUAGCGAGAAUUAUGUGAGAAUCAUAAUGGUCGAAAACCUAAGGUUUCUUGAGGAAGGUUCGUCCGCUCAAGGUAAGCCGGGAGCUAAGGCGAGGCCGAGAGGCGUAGUCGAUGCACAUACGGUUGAAAUUCCGUAGCCACCGAAACUGUUAAGCACAGGGACGCAGGAACAUAAUCUGACCGCACCGAUGGUAGAGUGCGGCGAAAGGGAGCGAAAAUAAGUAGCGAAGCAGAUGAUUGUACACUGACAAGAAAAGCUGUGUGGAUUGGUAAGGUGCCCGUACCGUAAACCGACACAGGUGGGUGAGGAGAGAAUCCUAAGACCGUCGGGAGAAGUGUUGUUAAGGAACUCGGCAAAUUGACCCCGUAACUUCGGAAUAAGGGGUGCCUAUUGAGAGAUAGGCCGCAGAGAAUAGGCCCAAGCGACUGUUUAGCAAAAACACAGGUCUCUGCUAAAUCGAAAGAUGAUGUAUAGGGGCUGACGCCUGCCCGGUGCCGGAAGGUUAAGAGGAGAGCUUAGAGCAAUCGAAGGUUUGAAUUGAAGCCCCGGUAAACGGCGGCCGUAACUAUAACGGUCCUAAGGUAGCGAAAUUCCUUGUCAGGUAAGUUCUGACCCGCACGAAUGGCGUAACGAUUUGGGCACUGUCUCAACAGCCCGCCCGGCGAAAUUGUAGUACCGGUGAAGAUGCCGGUUACCCGCGACUAGACGGAAAGACCCCAUGGAGCUUUACUGUAACUUGAUAUUGGAUUUUGGUAUUGCAUGUACAGAAUAGGUGGGAGGCUAAGAAACGAGUACGCCAGUAUUCGCGGAGCCAACUUUGGGAUACCACCCUUGUGAUACCGGAAUUCUAACCUGUGGCCGUGAAACCGGUCAGGGGACAAUGUCUGGUGGACAGUUUGACUGGGGCGGUCGCCUCCAAAAGAGUAACGGAGGCGUUCAAAGGUUAGCUCAGCACGGUCGGAAAUCGUGCGAAGAGUGCAAACGCAAAAGCUGGCCUAACUGCGAGACGUACAGGUCGAGCAGUAACGAAAGUUGGAGUUAGUGAUCCGGCGGUAUGAGAGUGGAAUUGCCGUCGCUCAACGGAUAAAAGCUACCCUGGGGAUAACAGGCUGAUCUCCCCCAAGAGUCCACAUCGACGGGGAGGUUUGGCACCUCGAUGUCGGCUCAUCGCAUCCUGGAGCUGUAGUCGGUUCCAAGGGUUGGGCUGUUCGCCCAUUAAAGCGGUACGCGAGCUGGGUUCAGAACGUCGCGAGACAGUUCGGUCCCUAUCUGUCGCGGGCGCAGGAAAUUUGAAGGGAGCUGUCCUUAGUACGAGAGGACCGGGAUGGACGUACCACUGGUGUACCAGUUGUCUUGCCAAAGGCACGGCUGGGUAGCUAAGUACGGAAGGAAUAAACGCUGAAGGCAUCUAAGCGUGAAGUCCACCCUAAGAUAAGAUUUCCCAUUGUUUUAAACAAGUAAGACCCCACGUAGACUAUGUGGUUGAUAGGUCGGAGGUGUAAGUGCGGUAACGCAUUCAGCUGACCGAUACUAAUAGGUCGAGGGCUUGACCU